GUCUACAGCCAUAUCCCCCUGAACAUGCUUAAUCUCAUCUGAUCUCAGAAGCUAAGCAGGGUCAGGCCUGGUUAGUACAUGGAUGGGAGAAAUAAUGGUUCAUUGUUAUUC
This 111-nucleotide ribosomal RNA is filed under the name Propithecus coquereli (Coquerel's sifaka). Lineage: Eukaryota; Metazoa; Chordata; Mammalia; Primates; Indriidae. The record is from RNAcentral.